This is a long non-coding RNA of Haliaeetus leucocephalus (bald eagle), 1174 nucleotides long. RefSeq lists it as uncharacterized. The record is from RefSeq and is a predicted model, not a curated record. NCBI's taxonomy places the organism in Eukaryota, Metazoa, Chordata, Aves, Accipitriformes, Accipitridae. The transcript has 4 exons.
CCGGCGCAGCUCAGCUCCUGCCCCGGGCUCGCCAGACGCCGGCAGAGCCGCUGCGGGAGAACCGGGACGAGCCACAAUUGCAGGGAGCUAACGUGGGAGGAGUACAGGAGUCCCGGCUGCCGGUAGGAGCCUCUGCGCAGCCCAGGCUGGGGACGGCCAGGAGAACUGGGCCAGGAUGUCCCAGCUGGGCUCCUUGCUCCUGCAGACUUGCCGUGACUCGGGGAGGGGCAUUCGCACCAGGAUCCCCCGGGCAUCAGGGUAAAGCGAGAGUGCAGGCAACAUGGCAGGGGAGCAGCUGACCGGCAGGAAGGUUCAGCCUGGGUCAGGGUGAGGAGCAUGGCCCUGCCAUGUGAGGAUGAGCCUGGGCCAGGAGCAUGGCCCUGACACCGGGGGACGCCGACAUGGGAGGAAAUGUCCGGUAUAGACAAGAUGCUGACGCUGCCUUGCCCGCCACCCUGUCCCAGGAGACCUGGGGGGACCCCCACCUCACUUCUGCCCUCGGGAGUGGGACUGGGUGAGACCCUCCGUGCAGCAAGAGGUACAUGGCAAAGAUUUAAUCCCUGAGGGAAGAGGACAGGCUCCCUGCUUGCAGAAAGAUGACUUGCCUCACUGCUGCUUGGAGCUCAUUGUUGAGGACAGCCCUAUCUGCGCCUGCCUCAGAGUACAGAUCCACCUGAUGGACACCCUGGCUUGUUACAGCUCCAGCCACAAGAUGUUCCUGCUAAUAGUUGCUCCUUCCUGUAAAGAGCUGCAGGUAAGUUUAGCUUUCCUUAACAGAGGCUACGGAGAGCAGACGCUCUCCUGUUCAAACGUACUGGGAGUGCAGCCCAGGCUGACAGACAUGACGGCUUGUUACAGCUCCAGCCGAACAGCAGCUCCGGAUAAGAGAUGUUCCUGCUUCUUACGACUCCUGCUGACAGACUCUCCAGCAUGUUACAGCUCAGGGUAUUUGAAGCCACAAGUAAUUUCAAUUCCUGCUGCUUUUUUCAGCCUGACGUAAUUUGAGGUGCAGCUUGUUGAAGCUCCAGCUCUGGCUGAUGGAUGCUCCAACUGCGAAAGUGAUGAGGCUUCUUGUUAUCAACUCUGGCUUAAUAAAUGGUCCCUCUUGUUAUAAGCCAAUUAAAGCUCCAGCUAAUUGCAGUAAUCAGGGCUUUUGGCAAGGUUGUAAAUCAAU